GACGAACGCUGGCGGCGUGCUUAACACAUGCAAGUCGAACGGUAAGGCCCUUCGGGGUACACGAGUGGCGAACGGGUGAGUAACACGUGGGAGAUCUGCCCUGCACUUCGGGAUAAGCCUGGGAAACUGGGUCUAAUACCGGAUAGGACCCUGGGAUGCAUGUCCUGGGGUGGAAAGCUUUUGCGGUGUGGGAUGGGCCCGCGGCCUAUCAGCUUGUUGGUGGGGUGAUGGCCUACCAAGGCGACGACGGGUAGCCGGCCUGAGAGGGUGACCGGCCAGACGGGGACUGAGAGACGGCCCAGACUCCUACGGGAGGCAGCAGUGGGGAAUAUUGCACAAUGGGCGCAAGCCUGAUGCAGCGACGCCGCGUGAGGGAUGACGGCCUUCGGGUUGUAAACCUCUUUCAGCACCGACGAAGCGCAAGUGACGGUAGGUGCAGAAGAAGGACCGGCCAACUACGUGCCAGCCGCCGCGGUAA
RNAcentral lists this ribosomal RNA (478 nucleotides) under uncultured bacterium. RNAcentral's name for it is "partial 16S ribosomal RNA". It matches the Rfam family "Bacterial small subunit ribosomal RNA", at positions 28 to 523 of the family's 1533-position model. The record is from RNAcentral.